This 691-nucleotide ribosomal RNA is filed under the name Sticta isidiokunthii. Its description in RNAcentral is "SSU rRNA". It matches the Rfam family "Bacterial small subunit ribosomal RNA", at positions 415 to 1121 of the family's 1533-position model. Lineage: Eukaryota; Fungi; Ascomycota; Lecanoromycetes; Peltigerales; Lobariaceae. The record is from RNAcentral.
UACUUGGUAGUUUAAAUUUCUAGGUAGAAUUAUGAUGAUGACAUUAUCUAUCUAUUAGUCUUGACCAAAUUACGUGCCAGCAGUCGCGGUAAUACGUAGAAGACAAGUGUUAUUCAUCUUUAUUAGGUUUAAAGGGUACCAAGACGGUUAAUAAAGCCCAAAAGAAAUGAAUACGGGGGACACAUUAACUAGAGUUAUAUGAAAGGAAGCUCUAAGGUACUGUUGAGUGGAGAGAUGAAAUUUUUUGAUACCAGAUUAAUGGCACAGAUUUAUGCGAAGGCAUCUUCUUAUGUAAUAACUGACGUUGUAGGACGAAGGCUUAGGAAGUGAACAGGAUUAGGUACCCCAGUAAUCUAGGCAGAAAAUGAUGAAUGUCAUAGGUUCAAGAGACUGGUUAAUUUAAUUAAAAAAUAUUGGGAUAAAUUAAAUUAAUCAGCAUAUUGUGUCUAUAAAUGAAAGUGUAAGCAUUCCACCUCAAGAGUAAUUUGGCAACAUUGGAACUGAAAUCAUUAGACCGUUUCUGAAACCAGUAGUGAAGUAUGUUGUUUAAUUAGAUGAUACACAAAAACCUUACCACAAUUUGAAUAUAUAUAAAAUAUAUUUACAAGCGCUGCACGGCUGUCUACAGUUAAUGUCGUGAGACUUUGGUUAACUCCAUUAAAUUGACGAAAACCCUAAUUUUAUUUAUAAA